GAAAGGUAGAGUAGCUACAUUAUGUUCACAGGUAGGGCAACUCACCUAGGGUACAGCAUAAUAGAAUUUGAGAGGUAAGGGACAGCUUUAUAUGCCUUUUCUCUCUAUCCAGGAAGGCCAUGUACUUCCUUAAUAGAAAAAUGGUAUAUAAGAGAAUACCAUUUGCACAAAGACUUUCUCCAGAGGGGAGGCAAGAGAACUAAUAUUUAUUGAGCACUUACUAAUUGCUCCAAUAGUCUAAUCUAUAUGGAGGUGGUAGUGUUAUCCUCAUUUUCCAGAAAAAUAAUGAAAAAAGGGUUAAAUAAUUUUCCCAAGGUCAUUCAACUGGUAUAUUGCAAUUCUGGGAUUUGAACUUAAAGCUGACUGUAGCCCACACUUCUUCCCUGGAUUUUGUUUCACCUUUUUAUUUUGGUACUGGGAAUCAAACCCAGGCCCUCAUGCAUGCUAGGCAAGAGCUUUACCACUGAGCCACACCCCUAGCCUGAUUUUAUUGCAUUUUAAUAGCAAAGGGGUUUAUGUGACAUAUCCUAUAGCCAGAGACCAGAAGUAAAAAAAAAAAAUGUCCUAUCCUCCAAAUAUCUUUUAAUCAAACUAUUAAAUAUGAAAUCUUUAGAAGUAAACCUUUAUGAAAGUAUAUCCUAUUUUAUCAUAAUAUGCCCUUGCAAGAUGUUAGUAUGUAAUAAAAACAUAUUAAAAACAAACCCUGUUGUUACUGCUGACCUAUACAAUAUUCUUGAACAAUGGAAAUAAUUACAAAGAAUUUAUUACAGUUUUAACAUUAACCCCUCCUAUUUUCUUUUCCUUGUCACACACAGUCCGAUGCUUCCUAAGUUUAUAUGCUAAUAUUUCCUAUGUUAGUAUAGAUAUUCCAAAACAUUUGGUUGCUUUCAUAGAAUAUUCCCAUGUGAAUAUCUUUAUCAAGUUAAAAAAAAACAACAAAUAAACCUCUGCUGCAGACACAUGUCAGAGAAUCAUUCUCACCCCAUAGGCACAAAUCCAAACUCUUGUUUUCAUUAAAUGGGUUGGUUUGUACAUGUGCACAUGCAUGCAGAGGAUCUAUUCUCUUGUAGGAUAGGAACAAUUUCCCAGGCAGCCAACCCUCCUGGUGUGACCCAGGGGAACUCAGCAGGUUGAAAGCUGCUCAAUGCAGCCUUGAAUCCAGCCCAAAUGCUGUUUUGCUCAAGCAGAGCAAACCACACAGGCCCUUCUUUCAUGAAGUCUCCCUCAGCCCCCUACCCAACCCUUCUUGGCUUCAACCCAAUUAUGGAGCUCCCACACUGGCAGGAUUAAAUGUAGCAGAAAACAAGUCAGGGCAAUUAUUUGAGAACUUAGCCUAAAGAUAUACCCCAAAGAAUUUGGGAAAAGAUAAAAAAAGAUCAGAGAAAAUUAAAAAUGUAUAAUCUAACAAAUCAAAGAUAACUAAUGUUUUGAUCUAAAAAUAGAGAUUGCUUAUCCAUGAAAUGAAUACAUGAAUUACUAUAAAAUGUAUUACAAACAGCUCAAAGAAGUAUAAGGUAAUAUGUGAAAGUCUCCUUCUCCUGCUUAUCUCAUUCUUAUUGCCCAGAGGGCAUCACAGAUUAAGGUUCCUUGUGAUACUUUCCACACAUUGUCAUAUUCAAGUAUAUCUGUACAUUCUUUUCCUCCUACAAAUGGAAGCCAAGGAUAAGAUCACAGAUUGUAAGAUGAACUGUGUUUGGAUUCAUCUUGACAAAUUUAAUUGUGUGCUCUGUGGAAAGUUAUGUGGGCUUUCUGUGCCUCAGUCUCCUAUUUAGGAAAGGGGAAUAAAUAGUAUUAGCCACUUCAUAGGGCUGUUAGGAGGAUUAAAUGAGUUGCUGUAUCCCAAGUACUUAAAACAGUGUCUGCUAUGUAUUAAAUGCUAUGCUAAGUGUCAGUACUAAUUUUUACAAGGACUUUAUUGAAAUAAAUUUUUCAUAUCAUAGAAUUAUUUUAAAGUGUACAAUUCAGUGAUUUUUUAGUAACAUUACUGAGUGGUAUAAUCAUCACCAGAAAUCAAUUUUAGAACAUUUUCAGCCUCUUAUAAGAUCUCCUGUGUUCAUUUACAUUUAAUCACUAUUCCUGUCCCCCAAACAUAGGUGAUCAUUAAUUUACUUUCUCUUUUUUUAGGUAUUUCAUAGAAAUGGAAUCAUACAAUAUUUGGUCGCUUGUGUUUUUCUUUUUCAUUUCAAAAAAUGUUUGAGAUUCAUCUAUAAUGCAAUGUGUAUUAAUAGUCUGUUCCAUUUUAUUGCUGAAUAGUAUUUCAUGGCAUGGAUAGACCACAUUCUGUCUAUCCAUUUGCCAGUUGAUGGACAUUUCGGUUGGAUCCAACUUUUGGCAAUUAUUAAUAAUGCUAUUGUAAACAUUUCCAUGUAAGUCUUUAUGUGGAUAUAUUAAACUCAUCCUAAGUAUUUUAUUCUCUUGACACUAUUUUAAGUGAUAGUUCAUUCUUUGAUUUUGAUUGGUGCAUUGCUUGUGCUCAGAAAUGCAAUUGAUUUUAUGUGUUGGUCUUAUGUCCUGUGGCCAUGAUGUUAAUUUGAAUGCCUUGGGAUUUUCUAUAUACGUGAUUAUGUCAUAUGUGAAUAGAAUAUUUGUACUUCCACCUUUCCAGUCUGGAUGAUUUAUUUUAUUU
This 2626-nucleotide long non-coding RNA is filed under the name Marmota monax (woodchuck). Lineage: Eukaryota; Metazoa; Chordata; Mammalia; Rodentia; Sciuridae. The record is from RNAcentral.